AGCGCUAUACGGGAUUUGCACCCGCGACCACCUGCGUACUCCUCUCCGCAUCAAGGGACGCGAGCCGGAAACAGAUACUCUUUCUACUGAGCUAAUAGCGC
Molecule: transfer RNA, 101 nt
Filed under: Chloropicon primus
Lineage: Eukaryota; Viridiplantae; Chlorophyta; Chloropicophyceae; Chloropicales; Chloropicaceae
Description: tRNA-Arg
Source: RNAcentral